GGAGAGUUGUCAGAGUCAGGCUUAUCGUGCUUCCCUGCUACGGAAGUGUGGGUAACACCACCAAGGGUUCAAAUCCCUUACUCUCCU
RNAcentral lists this transfer RNA (87 nucleotides) under Bacillus phage vB_BanS-Thrax1. It matches the Rfam family "tRNA". From Rfam's summary of the family: Transfer RNA (tRNA) molecules are approximately 80 nucleotides in length. Their secondary structure includes four short double-helical elements and three loops (D, anti-codon, and T loops). Further hydrogen bonds mediate the characteristic L-shaped molecular structure. tRNAs have two regions of fundamental functional importance: the anti-codon, which is responsible for specific mRNA codon recognition, and the 3' end, to which the tRNAs corresponding amino acid is attached (by aminoacyl-tRNA synthetases). tRNAs cope with the degeneracy of the genetic code in two manners: having more than one tRNA (with a specific anti-codon) for a particular amino acid; and 'wobble' base-pairing, i.e. permitting non-standard base-pairing at the 3rd anti-codon position. The record is from Rfam by way of RNAcentral. Lineage: Duplodnaviria; Heunggongvirae; Uroviricota; Caudoviricetes.